CAGCAGCCGCGGUAAUACGAGGGGGGCAAGCGUUGUUCGGAUUUAUUGGGCGUAAGGGGUGCGUAGGCGGUUUGGCAAGUCUUGUGUGAAAUCUUCGGGCUCAACCCGAAGCCUGCACGAGAAACUACCGGGCUUGAGUAUUGGAGAGGUGAGUGGAAUUUCCGGUGUAGCGGUGAAAUGCGUAGAUAUCGGAAGGAACACCUGUGACGAAAGCGGCUCACUGGACAAUAACUGACGCUGAUGCACGAAAGCUAGGGGAGCAAACAGGAUUAGAUACCCCCGUAGUCCCUGUCUCUUAUAC
This 301-nucleotide ribosomal RNA is filed under the name uncultured bacterium. RNAcentral's name for it is "partial 16S ribosomal RNA". It matches the Rfam family "Bacterial small subunit ribosomal RNA", at positions 509 to 807 of the family's 1533-position model. The record is from RNAcentral.